AACAUCAUAGGUGGAGUAGUGCGAGCAACAACUACUGACAGAUAUCAGCUGUUCCAGUAAAUAAGGAACCGCAUUUAGGAAUGGAUGUUGUUGAAAAUAUUAUAGAAAAUGGAACAAAUAGCGUCGAAAGUCUCGACGAAGAAACAAAUACAGAUGAAGAUUCGACACAAAUAUCAGAGGGUGAUGAGAAUUGGUAUUAUAUGCCAGAUUCUAUACUUCUCAGUAUUUUUCAAUACCUAACACCAAGAGAACUAGUAACAGCAGGAGAAGUAUGUAGAUCAUGGAACAAAGUAUCGCAAGAUGAAUUUCUUUGGAGAGACUUAUUCUAUCAAACUUAUAAAAUAGAUUCAAAUAUUGGUAUUAUGCCAGGAAAAACUUCCUGGUUUGAAGAAUUUAAGCGUUUAGCAUAUCAUACUCCCUUAAUAGAAACUGAAGUUCUAAAUCAUCAUUCACAUCAAGUAUUGCAUGUUAGUUUUUCGCACAAUGGCAAAAUGUUUGCAACGUGUUCAAAAGAUGGAUACAUCCUUGUAUGGAAAAGUCAACAUCCAGUUAAUAUUAUAUAUCUUAAUGAUAUGAAAACAUUUAGCUGGAAAUAUACUCAGUUUUCACAGUUCAAUUCUACUGAUACUUUACUUCUUGUCUCUGGUGUACAUUUUGGUACACCACAUAGUACAUCAGGAGAAAUAGCUGUCUUCAGAGUAGCACCUGGCUUUCAACUUCAAUGUAGAGUAGCGAAUAAACCGUAUGAUAUAUUUGGUACUUGGUAUAGUGAACAUUACCUUUUAAGUGGAAAUUUAUAUUGGCUGGCACACUUGGUUAGUACUAGUGUACUCUGGCUAAAUAAGGCUAAUCAAGAAUCAGCAAGUGAGCAUGUGCCCAUCAUGACACAACUGUUUAGGUUUUAUAAUGGAAAUGCUUCUUCAAUAAGAGCAAUUAUGAUUGCAAAUUGCUUAGCUCCCGCAAUCGAUUCUGAAAGUUCACAAGAUCAACCUUCAUCGUCAAAUAACAAAGAAGAUAAUGCUCAAAAUCAUAUAGCAACAUCUUCAACUAAUAAUUCACCACAAGAAGAACCAGUUGUACUUCAUCAUGUCUCAUCUAGAUUACAGUACAGUACAAUAGAAGGACGUUUUAUGAAUUGGAUAAAACUUGGUGAUGGUUUUGAAUAUGCCAGUCCCAUACAAUAUAAUAAAGAAUAUAGACAAGUUGAAAAAGAAAAAACAGCACAUGAAGCUGAUAGUGAAAGUGAUAGUGAAAAUGAGAAUGAGAAUGAGAAUGAGAAUGAAAAUGAAAACGAAAAUGAAAAUCAACAGUGGAAUGAAGAGAACGAAUCUGCAGAAUCAUCAACAGCAGAAGAGUGUGAUUCUGAUGAAUUAUCUAAUAAUCCAGAAAAAUUCUUAAUUUUUACAACUGGAUCAAAAACAUAUACACCUCAUCAAGUUGGCUUUAAAAGGAUCAAAUUAGUUACCUUCCCAAGAAGAUUAGAUCCAGGACCAUCACUUCGUGAAAGAUUAGCGCAACGAGAAAGAGAACGAGAAAGACAAAACUCAGGAACUUUGUAUACUAAUUGGUUGGAUUAUGAAGCAGUUGCUGAUAGAUUUGAUAAAGUAGAUCACUUAAUUGAUUUACAUGGUCAUAUUAUAGGAAUGGGUCUUUCUCCAGAUCACAGAUAUUUAUAUGUCAAUACAAGGCCUUGGCCAAGAGGAUAUGUUAUUACUAAUCCAUUACAACCUCCACCUAUAGCUCAAGAAAUAGAUAUUCAUGUAAUUGAUUUAGUAACAUUGAAACAAGUUGGUACAAUGUUAAGAGCGCAUAAAGCAUAUACUCCAAAUAAUGAAUGUUUCUUUAUAUUUCUGGAUGUAUGCAACGAAUAUGUGGCAAGUGGUGCUGAAGAUAAACAUGGCUAUCUUUGGGAUAGACAUUAUGGAGUUUGUUUAACCAAAUUCCCUCAUUCUGAUGUUGUCAAUUCUGUAGCUUUCAAUCCUAAAGAUCCCGAGAUGUUAGUUACAACUAGCGAUGAUUAUACAGUCAAAAUAUGGCGCAGUCGAGCUAUGGUGAAAUCCUUAGGUUUAAACGAACAUUCUUUUAAUCGAGGAAUGGAAGUAAGAAAAAAGAGCAGUUAUCAUAAACCCGGUUGUAAUGUUGACUGACUAAAGACUAUUAAAUUUCCUAUUUAAAAGCUUAUGAUUAAAAAAUCAUCUCUCAGCCUUGUAUAUCUACUGGAUCAUAACAAUUAUACCUGCAACAUUCACCUUAACACAAACAUGAUUGAGCACAUUUAUGCAUAGUAUGAAUGCAGUUGUGAAAUUAUUAUAUAUACGUGUGUAUGAGUACGUGUAUGUGUGUGUGUAUAAUUUUGAGUGAUACAACUGUAUAGUUCUACAAAAUCAGCACUUUUACUAUAUGUUCAGUGUUCCUGUUAAUAACUUCCUUUAAAUUACUUUUUUAUGUUUCUACUGUCCAUUUAUUUGUUGUUAUGUAAUAACCAAACGAAACAACAUGAUUAGCUGUUAUUUUUUCUGCUCAAUUAGAAUAUAAAUAAACGUAUUGGCACAUUCGUGUCUUUGCAAAAUAUAUUCAAAUUUCUAUAUAGAGAAUGAUAUAAAUAACUAUUGUGAAAGUUUGUUAAAGUAUAACAUCAUGAAAUAUAUCAGUGAUAUUUACUUUUUCAUUAUCAGAUGAAACCUAACAGUGAUGUGGAAGACAGAUCAUGGACACCCUAGUCUCAAUGGGAAAUGGUUAUUAGGAGAAAAAUGAGAAUAUAUAUAUUUAUAUUAAUCUUGCUUCUAUUAAUUCUAAAACAAAUAGAAAAAUACGCUUAGUUGAAUAUUUGCUCACAUAAAACUAUUUAAUAAAGUAAUUUACCAUAGUGGAUUCAUUUUA
Molecule: unclassified non-coding RNA, 2880 nt
Organism: Vespa mandarinia (Asian giant hornet)
Lineage: Eukaryota; Metazoa; Arthropoda; Insecta; Hymenoptera; Vespidae
Source: RefSeq, a predicted model, not a curated record